RNAcentral lists this ribosomal RNA (1030 nucleotides) under Helotiaceae sp. LM229. RNAcentral describes it as "bacterial SSU rRNA". The stretch from base 1 to 363 matches the Rfam family "Eukaryotic small subunit ribosomal RNA", at positions 1471 to 1831 of the family's 1831-position model. Lineage: Eukaryota; Fungi; Ascomycota; Leotiomycetes; Helotiales; Helotiaceae. The record is from RNAcentral.
CCUCAAGAGUUCUGGGCCGCACGCGCGCUACACUGACAGAGCCAACGAGUUCUUCACCUUGGCCGAAAGGUCUGGGUAAUCUUGUUAAACUCUGUCGUGCUGGGGAUAGAGCAUUGCAAUUAUUGCUCUUCAACGAGGAAUGCCUAGUAAGCGCGUGUCAUCAGCAUGCGUUGAUUACGUCCCUGACCUUUGUACACACCGCCCGUCGCUACUACCGAUUGAAUGGCUCAGUGAGGCGUUCGGACUGGCUCGGGGAGGUUGGCAACGACCACCCCAAGCCGGAAAGUUCGUCAAACUCGGUCAUUUAGAGGAAGUAAAAGUCGUAACAAGGUCUCCGUAGGUGAACCUGCGGAGGGAUCAUUACACAAAUACAAUAUGAAGGCUUCGGCUGGAUUAUUUAUUUCACCCUUGUCUUUUGCGCACUUGUUGUUUCCUGGGCGGGUUCGCCCGCCACCAGGACCACACCAUAAACCUUUUUUGUUUAAUGCAUUCAGCGUCAGUAUAACAAAUGUAAAUCAUUUACAACUUUCAACAACGGAUCUCUUGGUUCUGGCAUCGAUGAAGAACGCAGCGAAAUGCGAUACGUAGUGUGAAUUGCAGAAUUCAGUGAAUCAUCGAAUCUUUGAACGCACAUUGCGCCCUUUGGUAUUCCAAAGGGCAUGCCUGUUCGAGCGUCAUUUGUACCCUCAAGCUUUGCUUGGUGUUGGGCGUCUUGUCUUUGUUCUCCAAAGACUCGCCUUAAAACGAUUGGCAGCCGGCCUCCUGGUUUCGCAGCGCAGCACAAUUUUGCGCUUGCAAUCAGCAACAGAGGUUGGCACUUCCAUCAAGCCCUUUUUUUCUUACGUUUGGACCCCCGGAAUCAGGGUAGGGGAUACCCCCUGAAACUUAAGCCUUAUCAAUAAGCCGGAAGGAAAAAAAAACCAACCGGGGAUUGCCCUAAUUAACGGCGAAGUGGAAGCGGCCACCGCUCCAAAUUUUAAAAUUUGGGGUUCUUUUCAAAAUCCGAAUUUUUAAUUUUGCAAAAGGGGGC